Carassius gibelio (silver crucian carp) is the source of this 633-nucleotide long non-coding RNA. RefSeq lists it as uncharacterized. Lineage: Eukaryota; Metazoa; Chordata; Actinopteri; Cypriniformes; Cyprinidae. The record is from RefSeq and is a predicted model, not a curated record. The transcript has 2 exons.
AGGGACAUAAUUGAUUUUGUCUUUUGAUUAUAUUAACCAUUGGGUUUACUGUGUGUGUAUGUGUGUAGUUUGUGAUCUUGUUUCUUUCACUCCUCCUUCCUCUCUCUGCUUGGCAGGCUAAUGAGUGCCACCUGUCUCCUGUUUAGCUCAUUAGCUGGAGUAUAAAGGAACCUCCAAGAGCUGCAGUCCAGUGUGAGAGGCUGAGGCGUUCCAUCCUUGCAACUGCCAUCUUCUAGUUCCAGUGUUGGGAUUUUAAGCUCUUGUUUAAACUCUUGUCUACUUAAGUGUUUGUUGAUUGCUUCACCUAUAGUGUUAAAGUGAAGUUAUUGAGAGUUGCAGAGUGUCUGUCAUUUUUAGUGUAACUGCUUAAGUGGAAGUGGAAUAUUUUUCUUGUAGGGAGGUGGAUGUCAUUUAUUUUAGAAACUACCCUUUUUCUCCUGUGUUUGAGUUAGAGAGGAAGUCAGGGAAGUAUCUCUGUGCUUUUUCUUUCUCUUUUUGUUUGGUAGGUAAGUUAACACUGAAAACCUUAGUCAGAGGAAACUUUUUGUUUAUUGUUUUGGCCUUUCCCCUCCUGAAGCCUUAUAUAUAUUUUUCCAUUCUGUUAAAUAAAAUACCUCUGGUUGUUUGCUCAAA